This 467-nucleotide ribosomal RNA is filed under the name uncultured bacterium. RNAcentral describes it as "partial 16S ribosomal RNA". It matches the Rfam family "Bacterial small subunit ribosomal RNA", at positions 28 to 507 of the family's 1533-position model. The record is from RNAcentral.
GACGAACGCUGGCGGCGUGCUUAACACAUGCAAGUCGAACGGAAAGGCCUCUUUCGGGGGGUACUCGAGAGGCGAACGGGUGAGUAACACGCGAGUAACAUGCCCUUGACAUUGGGAUAACUCCAGGAAACUGGGGCUAAUACCGGAUAGGAGCUCCUGCUGCACGGUGGGGGUUGGAAAGAUUCGGCGGUUGGGGAUGGACUCGCGGCUUAUCAGCUUGUUGGUGGGGUAGUGGCUUACCAAGGCUUUGUCGGGUAGCCGGCCUGGGAGGGUGACCGGCCACAUUGGGGCUUGGGUUCGGCCCAGACUCCUACGGGGGGCAACAGGGGGGAAAAUUUCACAAUGGGUGGGAGCCUUAUGCAGCAACGCCGGGGGCGGGAUGACGGGCUUCGGGUUGGAAACCGCUUUCGCUCAUGACGAAGCUUUGUGUGACGGUAGUGGGUAAAGAAGCACCGGCUAACUACGUG